Molecule: long non-coding RNA, 598 nt
Organism: Mirounga angustirostris (Northern elephant seal)
Lineage: Eukaryota; Metazoa; Chordata; Mammalia; Carnivora; Phocidae
Exons: 3
Source: RefSeq, a predicted model, not a curated record
GACACACCCAGGAGAAGGAAAUGCGAACACAGAGAUGGACAGAGUCUGGAGGGCUGCCACGUCAGGCCAAGCAAUGCCAGGCCGUCAUCAGAAGCUGGAGAGGCAAGAAACAGAUCCUCCCCUAGAGCAUGCAAAGGGAGCGUGGCCCUGCUGACCGCUUGAUUUCAGCUCACCGAAAACUUAUUUCGGACUUCUGGUCUGCAGAACUGUGAGAGAAAUACACUCUUGUGAGAAAAUAUUAGAAUUGUCAUCUGGUUCUUCCAAUGAUGAUCGAUGCAUAUCCUAUGAAAAUGUUACCAACAUUGAAGAUGUUGAUUUUUCCUAUUAACAAUAAGAAAAGAAAAACUGAAGCAUGAGAGAUGAGCAUUGCUGUCGAGUCCCCACAGCUGCCACAGAAACGCAUGUGCUGCAUUCCAUCAUCCCUUGCAUUCAAAAUGCUACUGAUGCAUAGCACCUAAUCAAGUCCCCAGGCCGCAGCUCCACUCCUGAGGAAGCUACGUCACCUCCAUCGCCACUGUAUUGUCUGCUAUGUUGUUCAGUGCUGGCUUUUCUGAUUCAUGAUUUUCCCUGUUGAAAUAAAGUUCAAUUCAAUUAGUUA